Molecule: ribosomal RNA, 497 nt
Filed under: uncultured bacterium
Lineage: Bacteria
Description: partial 16S ribosomal RNA
Rfam family: Bacterial small subunit ribosomal RNA
Source: RNAcentral
GAUGAACGCUGGCGGCGUGCCUAAUACAUGCAAGUCGAGCGAACAGAUGAGGAGCUUGCUCCUCUUACGUUAGCGGCGGACGGGUGAGUAACACGUGGAUAACCUACCUAUAAGACUGGGAUAACUUCGGGAAACCGGAGCUAAUACCGGAUAAUAUAUUGAACCGCAUGGUUCAAUAGUGAAAGACGGUUUUGCUGUCACUUAUAGAUGGAUCCUCGCCGCAUUAGCUAGUUGGUAAGGUAACGGCUUACCAAGGCAACGAUGCGUAGCCGACCUGAGAGGGUGAUCGGCCACACUGGAACUGAGACACGGUCCAGACUCCUACGGGAGGCAGCAGUAGGGAAUCUUACGCAAUGGGCGAAAGCCUGACGGAGCAACGCCGCGUGAGUGAUGAAGGUCUUCGGAUCGUAAAACUCUGUUAUUAGGGAAGAACAAAUGUGUAAGUAACUAUGCACGUCUUGACGGUACCUAAUCAGAAAGCCACGGCUAACUACGUG